Molecule: ribosomal RNA, 467 nt
Filed under: Aeromonas veronii bv. veronii
Lineage: Bacteria; Pseudomonadati; Pseudomonadota; Gammaproteobacteria; Aeromonadales; Aeromonadaceae
Description: bacterial SSU rRNA
Rfam family: Bacterial small subunit ribosomal RNA
Source: RNAcentral
ACACAUGCAGUCGAGCGGCAGCGGGAAAGUAGCUUGCUACUUUUGCCGGCGAGCGGCGGACGGGUGAGUAAUGCCUGGGGAUCUGCCCAGUCGAGGGGGAUAACUACUGGAAACGGUAGCUAAUACCGCAUACGCCCUACGGGGGAAAGCAGGGGACCUUCGGGCCUUGCGCGAUUGGAUGAACCCAGGUGGGAUUAGCUAGUUGGUGAGGUAAUGGCUCACCAAGGCGACGAUCCCUAGCUGGUCUGAGAGGAUGAUCAGCCACACUGGAACUGAGACACGGUCCAGACUCCUACGGGAGGCAGCAGUGGGGAAUAUUGCACAAUGGGGGAAACCCUGAUGCAGCCGUGCCGCGUGUGUGAAGAAGGCCUUCGGGUUGUAAAGCACUUUCAGCGAGGAGGAAAGGUUGGUAGCUAAUAACUGCCAGCUGUGACGUUACUCGCAGAAGAAGCACCGGCUAACUCCGU